UACGUAGGGUGCGAGCGUUAUUCGGAAUUACUGGGCGUAAAGAGUGCGCAGGCGGCAGAGCAAGUCGAGUGUGAAAGCCCCGGGCUUAACUUGGGAAUUGCGCUCGAAACUACUUUGCUGGAGUGUGGCAGAGGAAGGUGGAAUUCCACGUGUAGCGGUGAAAUGCGUAGAGAUGUGGAGGAACACCAAUGGCGAAGGCAGCCUUCUGGGCCAACACUGACGCUCAUGCACGAAAGCGUGGGGAGCAAACAGG
Molecule: ribosomal RNA, 253 nt
Filed under: uncultured bacterium
Lineage: Bacteria
Description: partial 16S ribosomal RNA
Rfam family: Bacterial small subunit ribosomal RNA
Source: RNAcentral